AAAAAGAUAAACUCUGAUUUUCUGUGUCCAAUGUUUGACUGUCCGUUUUAUAUAAUUUUUUUAUAAUUAGUAUUUCCAUUGUUAUUAGAUGAUAAAACAUGAUUAAUACUUUAUGUAUAACUUGUCUUUUUUAAAAAAAAUUAUAAUUUAUUCAAAUAAGAUGGACGGUUAAACGUUGGACACUGAAACUCAGGGUUUGUCUUUUU
Oryza nivara is the source of this 206-nucleotide non-coding RNA. The record is from Rfam. Lineage: Eukaryota; Viridiplantae; Streptophyta; Magnoliopsida; Poales; Poaceae.